RNAcentral lists this long non-coding RNA (272 nucleotides) under Fukomys damarensis (Damara mole-rat). Its description in RNAcentral is "lncRNA (ENSFDAG00000030387.1)". The record is from RNAcentral. Lineage: Eukaryota; Metazoa; Chordata; Mammalia; Rodentia; Bathyergidae.
GUCUACCCAAACUUGGUGGAGGAGCCGUUUCGAGGAGUGGCUUUUGAAAAAGUCUCAUGUUUGUUAGAAAAUGUAAAGACUCAUGAAGAAGAGAAUUUUGACAUUAAAUAGGCAGGUCAUACCGGAGAUGACAAACUUUCAAAUAUCACCCCUGGGAUGUCUGCACCUACGGAGGCCCCCGUGGACCACACACUGGAGCACACACUUGAGUGCCAUAAAGUACUUUGUGGUCCGGCCUGCCCCUCAGAUCUGCCCUUGGUAAGUGGCUCCCC